Molecule: non-coding RNA, 273 nt
Organism: Paramuricea clavata
Lineage: Eukaryota; Metazoa; Cnidaria; Anthozoa; Malacalcyonacea; Plexauridae
Source: the annotation of a GenBank genome assembly
CCGGUUUUUGCCAGGCGGCGCCCAAGUAUACAGAUGUAUACAACUAUACAUAUUUAAUUAUAAUAAGGUUUAAAUUAACUCAUUAAAUAUUUACAUUCCCUUUAGGCUAAAUCUUUUUUGUGACCAACAAUAUUCCAACAAUAUUCAACAAUUAAUCACACUUAAGUUAAUAAAGAUGAAAAUAUUCUAAACUUUAAAUAAAGUUACCAAUAUCAUUAUUUGGAAUAGUGCUGCACAAGAAACUUAAUUAAGGGCCAAUUUAGUAAAUUGGAG